GAUGAACGCUGGCGGCGUGCUUAACACAUGCAAGUCGAACGAGAAGUGAAGACGGAAACCUUCGGGCGGAAGGCUUUAUUUCGAGUGGCGGACGGGUGAGUAACGCGUGGGUAACCUGCCUCAUACAGGGGGAUAACAGUUGGAAACGACUGUUAAUACCGCAUAAGACCACAGCACCGCAUGGUGCGGGGGUAAAAACUCCGGUGGUAUGAGAUGGACCCGCGUUCGAUUAGCCAGUUGGCGGGGUAACGGCCCACCAAAGCGACGAUCGAUAGCCGAUCUGAGAGGAUGACCGGCCACAUUGGGACUGAGACACGGCCCAAACUCCUACGGGAGGCAGCAGUGGGGAAUAUUGCACAAUGGGGGAAACCCUGAUGCAGCGACGCCGCGUGAGUGAAGAAGUAUUUCGGUAUGUAAAGCUUUAUCAGCAGGGAAGAAAAUGACGGUACCUGAGUAAGAAGCCCCGGCUAACUACGU
This 477-nucleotide ribosomal RNA is filed under the name uncultured bacterium. Its description in RNAcentral is "partial 16S ribosomal RNA". It matches the Rfam family "Bacterial small subunit ribosomal RNA", at positions 28 to 506 of the family's 1533-position model. The record is from RNAcentral.